GAGGGUAUAGCUCAGUGGUAGAGUGCAUGCCUAACAUGCAUGAGGUCCUGGGUUCAAUCCCCAGCACUGCCA
This 72-nucleotide transfer RNA is filed under the name Camelus bactrianus (Bactrian camel). It matches the Rfam family "tRNA". Rfam says of the family: Transfer RNA (tRNA) molecules are approximately 80 nucleotides in length. Their secondary structure includes four short double-helical elements and three loops (D, anti-codon, and T loops). Further hydrogen bonds mediate the characteristic L-shaped molecular structure. tRNAs have two regions of fundamental functional importance: the anti-codon, which is responsible for specific mRNA codon recognition, and the 3' end, to which the tRNAs corresponding amino acid is attached (by aminoacyl-tRNA synthetases). tRNAs cope with the degeneracy of the genetic code in two manners: having more than one tRNA (with a specific anti-codon) for a particular amino acid; and 'wobble' base-pairing, i.e. permitting non-standard base-pairing at the 3rd anti-codon position. Lineage: Eukaryota; Metazoa; Chordata; Mammalia; Artiodactyla; Camelidae. RNAcentral also lists the same sequence under 2 other names. The record is from Rfam by way of RNAcentral.